This 2305-nucleotide long non-coding RNA is filed under the name Medicago truncatula (barrel medic). RNAcentral describes it as "lncRNA gene4642". The record is from RNAcentral. Lineage: Eukaryota; Viridiplantae; Streptophyta; Magnoliopsida; Fabales; Fabaceae.
GAUUAAGUAUCACGAUCAAUUAACUGAUUAAAAGCAUAAAAAUUGUUCAACAGAAUUCUCAAAAUUGGUCACGCUGGCACUCAAUCUUAAACAUAUAAGUGAAGAACAAUUAAAGUACAAAAGACAAAUAAAAUCCUCCAUUCUAGAAAAAACUAAGACUAUAUAAUAGCCUUAAGAAACUACCAACAGCAAAAUAACAUUGAUAUCAUAACAAAAUGACAGAACUUAUUUCUUCUUGCCAGCCUUGGCAGCAUCUCCAGCCUUGGUCUGCAAAAACACAAUGAAAGAGAUUAUACUUCCAAAGUUUUACAAAGCAAAAUGUAUAAAAUGAAAAAUUAUCAACACAGAACAUAUGAUUUACCUUCUUUACUCCACGGAUCUUCUUUGCCCGGUUCUUUCUUUCCUUCAUUUGCUUCCUUGACUUUUCAACCUUAGUAUCAAGUCCAUUCUGCAAUAGAAGAAAAGAAAAUGAAUUAUAAUUUUCAAUAACAUAAGAACAGAGCCAAAAUGCAAAUUUAACUGAAUGGGAAGAAUCAUUAAUCAACUAAAUUUACAAGAUAAUAAGCCCUUCGCAAAUUUCGGAAAUGAAAGAGUUUAGUAAAACAUGUGCCCAAAGGGAAAGGAUAAAACAAAAUAACUAUCAUCAAUAACAAAAUUCUCCAAGCAAAUCAUUUUAUUUAAAAAUUGAAGGCAGACGCAGACAGCAUUGGACAAAUGGGUAGAUAAUUAUAGGAAAAUUGCUCAAUGAACUUAUAUCUAAACUACGCGAGAAAAUAAAGAAUAAAUCUACACAAGAAAUUAAACAGUUUGGACAAAAUAUGCAUUUAAAAUUAAAUGAAGAGUGGAAAAGGACUCCCUUAAGAAACAAACUAAUUAAACAUGUUGUAGUGAAGGCUUAUAAAAGCACCAGAAACUUUUUAACAACCACAAAAAAUAGCAAACCAAAUCAUUUCCCCUCAAAUCAAAAGGAAGUGCAACAUCAAACAUAAGAACAGAGUUAACAAAAGUAGAACGCAAGCAAAUCAUUAGAUGCACAACCAAGGCGUGUCCUUAACAGUGUCAACAAAAGUAUUUUAACCUGUUUUUCAGUAUUACUCCAUAUCCCACAAGUAAAAAAGGAAUCAGAACGAAAAACCAAAACUUCUUCGUGCCAAAUGAAUAGAAUUCACACAUACCAAUAAAUGUGAUUACGCAUUUGUCUUAAAUUUCUAUUAUUCUAUAUGCCAGUACCUCGUCAGCAUAAUCGAGAAUUUCAAGUGCUUCAUGUUCAAGCCAUUCCAGACUUCAAGGCAUCAUAUUAUUUCAAUAUAACAGACAUCUAAAUAUUUAUUCUCAAUGUCUAUGUUGCAUACUACAGUAUUAAUUUAAGAAUACACAUUGUCAGCAACAAACAUCAUGAACAAAUAAAUACUGUGAAUGACAGACACAUGAAGCACUACACUCAAUGAAAAAUAAAAGAAUAAUAACAUGUAUAAGGUAAUCUUAAUUUAAACAAAGAUCACAGCAGACAAGAAAAGUUACAAAGUGAAUCCAAGAAAAGAGAUAGAAUUAACUCACCCUAACAAGUCUAUAUUUUGGCUCGUAUUUCUUUGCAUUCUCAACAGAAUCAUAGAUCAAACCAAAACCAGUGGACUUGCCACCUCCAAAAUGAGUUCUGAACUUGAACACAAAAACAGUGUUUGGGUCCUUCACAUCGUAAAUCCUUGCAAGCUUCUCCUUUAGCUCAGCCUUCACACCAAACACAAAAGGUAAUUCAGUUUCAGCUUCUAUAAACCAACAUAAAUUCUAAAAACUAAAAACUAUAUGACAUAAACCAAUCUAACCUAACAUUCAUUCAAAUCAAAACUAACCCCUAAUUAUCAACCAUCAAAUGAUAAUCAUAGGUACCUUGGAUACAUUUGCCCUCCCUGGAUGAAGAACAUCAAUAACCUGCAACCCAGAAAAAAACGUAAGAAUCUCAACCAAUAACAUAAUAGAAAACACUCAUUAUCUGAAUCACAUUAAAAAACAUGAUAGAAAACCGUAAUUAUCAAUCUAGUUAUAUGAUAAAAUAAAAAGAAUCGUUUUUGUUGUAAAAUAAGCAUAAAAUCACAAUGGAGUUGAAUAAAUUAGAGUCUACGAGAUCUGAUUUCAAUUAGGAUUUGUGAAGAAAAACGAAAAGAAAACUCACAAAUUGCUUCCUGGAGAGAAGCCUGUUUGUCAUGAAUUUCCUGGUUCUGAUUGUCACUGCCUUGUCUGCCAUGGUUAUGAUUUUCGGCGCCGGUGAUAGAGAUGCACUCCCACUACUUAGCAAGGCGGCUGCACA